Lacerta agilis (Sand lizard) is the source of this 258-nucleotide long non-coding RNA. RefSeq lists it as uncharacterized. The record is from RefSeq and is a predicted model, not a curated record. The transcript has 3 exons. NCBI's taxonomy places the organism in Eukaryota, Metazoa, Chordata, Lepidosauria, Squamata, Lacertidae.
UGUUUCCGGGAGCUGAUGCGCCAUCCAGAUACCUGGAGUAUUUUGCUGUUUGCGACAAUUCCAUCUACCAGCAGAAAAAGAAAAACGUGACUCAGGUGAUAUUGAUGGUGCUUCAGAUUCUAUCUGUCCUUCACAAUAUAUAUGACGACAUAGGUCUUCACGUUGUUUUGACAGGAAUAGAGGUGUGGACAAGGCAAGAUCUCGCAGGCAGCGAGGCCGGUUUGGAAGCGUUUCACGACUACGUCACCUCUGAGCUUC